AUACUGAGGGUGCAAGCGUUAAUCGGAAUUACUGGGCGUAAAGCGCGCGUAGGCGGCCAGGUCAGUCGGAUGUGAAAGCCCCGGGCUCAACUCGGGAACUGCAUUCGAUACUGCCUGGCUAGAGUUUGGUAGAGGGUGACGGAAUUCCAGGUGUAGCGGUGAAGUGCGUAGAUAUCUGGAGGAACAUCAGUGGCGAAGGCGGUUGCCUGGACCAAAACUGACGCUAAGGUGCGAAAGCGUGGGGAGCAAACAGGAUUAGAAACCCCGGUAGUCC
This 274-nucleotide ribosomal RNA is filed under the name uncultured bacterium. RNAcentral describes it as "partial 16S ribosomal RNA". It matches the Rfam family "Bacterial small subunit ribosomal RNA", at positions 523 to 796 of the family's 1533-position model. The record is from RNAcentral.